RNAcentral lists this ribosomal RNA (200 nucleotides) under uncultured bacterium. RNAcentral's name for it is "partial 16S ribosomal RNA". It matches the Rfam family "Bacterial small subunit ribosomal RNA", at positions 28 to 222 of the family's 1533-position model. The record is from RNAcentral.
GAUGAACGCUAGCGGCAGGCUUAACACAUGCAAGUCGAGGGGCAGCAUAAAGUAAACUUGUUUACUUGGUGGCGACCGGCGCACGGGUGAGUAACGCGUAUGCAACCUACCCUGUUCUGGGGGAUAGCCCGGAGAAAUCCGGAUUAACACCCCAUGGUAAUUGAGAGUGGCAUCACCUUCAAUUUAAAGGUUACGGAACA